AUACUUACUUUUAAUGAGAUAUGAAAUAAAAUUGAUUUAGGACAAAAAAAAAAAAAAAAAAUAAGGUGGUUCUCCCAGGGCGAGGCUCAUCCAUUGCACUCCGGGUGUGCUGACCUCUGCGAUUUCCCCAAAUGCGGGAAACUCGACUGCAUAAUUUGUGGUAGUGGGGGACUGCGUUCGCGCUCUCCCCUG
Molecule: small nuclear RNA, 192 nt
Filed under: Erpetoichthys calabaricus (reedfish)
Lineage: Eukaryota; Metazoa; Chordata; Cladistia; Polypteriformes; Polypteridae
Description: U1 spliceosomal RNA (ENSECRG00000021617.1)
Rfam family: U1 spliceosomal RNA
About the family: U1 is a small nuclear RNA (snRNA) component of the spliceosome (involved in pre-mRNA splicing). Its 5' end forms complementary base pairs with the 5' splice junction, thus defining the 5' donor site of an intron. There are significant differences in sequence and secondary structure between metazoan and yeast U1 snRNAs, the latter being much longer (568 nucleotides as compared to 164 nucleotides in human).
Source: RNAcentral